RNAcentral lists this ribosomal RNA (402 nucleotides) under uncultured bacterium. Its description in RNAcentral is "bacterial SSU rRNA". It matches the Rfam family "Bacterial small subunit ribosomal RNA", at positions 356 to 773 of the family's 1533-position model. The record is from RNAcentral.
GGGGAAUAUUGGGCAAUGGGGGGAACCCUGACCCAGCAACGCCGCGUGGAGGAAGAAGGUUUUCGGAUCGUAAACUCCUGUCCUUGGAGACGAGUAGAAGGCGGUAUCCAAGGAGGAAGCCCCGGCUAACUACGUGCCAGCAGCCGCGGUAAUACGUAGGGGGCAAGCGUUGUCCGGAAUAAUUGGGCGUAAAGGGCGCGUAGGCGGCUCGGUAAGUCUGGAGUGAAUGUCCUGCUUUUAAGGUGGGAAUUGCUUUGGAUACUGUCGGGCUUGAGUGCAGGAGAGGUUAGUGGAAUUCCCAGUGUAGCGGUGAAAUGCGUAGAGAUUGGGAGGAACACCAGUGGCGAAGGCGACUAACUGGACUGUAACUGACGCUGAGGCGCGAAAGUGUGGGGAGCAAAC